CCUACGGGAGGCUGCAGUGAGGAAUAUUGGUCAAUGGACGAGAGUCUGAACCAGCCAAGUAGCGUGAAGGAUGACUGCCCUAUGGGUUGUAAACUUCUUUUAUAAAGGAAUAAAACGAGGCACGUGUGCCUUUUUGCAUGUACUUUAUGAAUAAGGAUCGGCUAACUCCGUGCCAGCAGCCGCGGUAAUACGGAGGAUCCGAGCGUUAUCCGGAUUUAUUGGGUUUAAAGGGUGCGUAGGCGGGCUGUUAAGUCAGUGGUAAAAGGUCGGGGCUCAACCUCGACGUGCCGUUGAAACUGGCUGUCUUGAGAUGUCGUGAGGUAUGCGGAAUGCGUAGUGUAGCGGUGAAAUGCUUAGAUAUUACGUAGAACUCCGAUUGCGAAGGCAGCAUACCAGC
RNAcentral lists this ribosomal RNA (397 nucleotides) under uncultured bacterium. RNAcentral describes it as "partial 16S ribosomal RNA". It matches the Rfam family "Bacterial small subunit ribosomal RNA", at positions 338 to 733 of the family's 1533-position model. The record is from RNAcentral.